CCUACUGGUGUCAGCAGUGAGGAAUAUUGGUCAAUGUGCGCGAGCCUGAACCAGCCAAGUAGCGUGAAGGAUGACUGCCCUACGGGUUGUAAACUUCUUUUAUAAAGGAAUAAAGUGAGGCACGUGUGCCUUUUUGUAUGUACUUUAUGAAUAAGGAUCUGCUAACUCCGUGCCAGCAGCCGCGGUAAUACGGAUGAUCCGAGCGUUAUCCGGAUUUAUUGGGUUGAAAGGGAGCUGAGAUGGGUUGUUAAGUCAGUUGUGAAAGUUUGCGGCGCAACCGUAAAAUUGCAAUUGAUACUGGCAGCCUUGAGUACAGUUGAGGUAGGCGGAAUUCGUGGUGUAGCGGUGAAAUGCUUAGAUAUCACGAAGAACUCCGAUUGCGAAGGCAGCUUACUAAGCUGCCACUGACAUUGAUGCUCGAAAGUGUGGGUAUCAAACAGGAUUAGAUACCCGGGUAGUC
This 460-nucleotide ribosomal RNA is filed under the name uncultured bacterium. Its description in RNAcentral is "partial 16S ribosomal RNA". It matches the Rfam family "Bacterial small subunit ribosomal RNA", at positions 338 to 795 of the family's 1533-position model. The record is from RNAcentral.